RNA transcript from Portunus trituberculatus (swimming crab), 12394 nucleotides. RefSeq lists it as uncharacterized. The record is from RefSeq and is a predicted model, not a curated record. NCBI's taxonomy places the organism in Eukaryota, Metazoa, Arthropoda, Malacostraca, Decapoda, Portunidae. The transcript has 8 exons.
AAAGUCACGAGGGUUGUGAGAAAUGAAACUUCGCUACUGCUCUCCCCGUGUGGCUCCCCCCGUGGUUCCCCUUCUGUUGUGGCUCCCUCUGGCUCCCCCUGUGGCUCUAGUGGCUCCUGUCCUGCCUGUCCUGCCCUAGCUGAGCCCCAGCAAGCAGCACAGCAGCCGUGGCCAGCAUGGAGGGUGGCAGGGCAGAGUGGGGGCCACUUCUGAGGGCCGUCUUCCAAUCUGAGAAGAGUGUUUUCAAGGAAUUGUCUUCUUUCAUCUCUCAAGAUGGAAGCCAUCAAUCAGUACUUUCCAUGGAGGCAGUUGCCACCCUGAAGGAAAAGCUGCUGACCAGCCCCAAUGCAGCAUCGCAGGUGCUUGGCCUGCUUGCAACCACAGCCACUCCCCUCUACUCCACCAGUGGAGAGGACGGACAUGUGGGUGACGAUCAUGGCCAGAAGCCACUGGAAGCUGCCCCUCCAGCCCGCUGGGUGGGCCAGGUUUGCCGCAUCUUCUUGGACUGCCUGGAGCACUGCCUCUGGAGGCUGGACAAUCUGGACGAGAAGCUGCAGCAGGAGGAGGAAGAGUACUCAGCGCUGCUCAGGAGGCAGCAGAGGAGCUACUCUCCCAUGAGAAGCAAUAUGGGGCGGGCAAAGCAGAAGACCAUCGCCUCUGCUGAGGCAUCAAAAUUUAAAGAGAGGAUCAUGGCCACUAAUAUGAAGAAAGGGGAAAUUGAAAGUCUGUUUUAUAAAUUGCUGUCAAUCUCAAAUUGUUUAGACGCUGCCUCCAUGAGCAAGUUGUUCCCAAAGAUGAUCACUCUCAGCUAUGAGAAGAAAGUGUUGGCUGUGAACAAACUGUACAUUUGUAUGCUGUCAGCCUCCACGGAGUGCUUACAAGCUUACUGUGAGAGAGAGGCGGAGUACCUUGUCCGUAAGUUUUAUGACAAAAACAGUGAUCUGACACACGGUCUUGUGCCCCUCAGCUCCCCACAGGUUAGGGAAAUCUUCCAUGUGUGUGUACACAGCUCAAAGCAUAUCAUGGAAAUUUUUUUUGAUUGCCUGUCAACUUCCCUCAGCACCAUGAAGGAGAUGGAGAUGCAGGAUUUCUCGUGGCUGGCGCCGCUGUGGCCGCUGCUUUACAUACAGACUGUCACUUCAUCCCAGGGAGUUGUGGAACACACAGGCAGCGGAGUGCUGUGGAAGAAACACAGCGCCGUUGAUCCACUGUUGGCUGAGGUAUGUGGUCUGCUGCAGCGGGACAUGAGACUGGUCCAGUGGUGUCUGGCUCACAACAGCCGGCUCAAGAUACAACCUCUGCUGCAGCUUGUCAGAGACCACUCACCGCUCUGUGUCAUCCACAAGUCCCUACAGCUCAACACUCUGGUGCCCAGCGAUGUGCUAGUGAUGCUCCAGGAACAUUGCAUGGCCAGGGACUCCACGGGUCUGCUCCACUCCUCCUGCAAGAACACAUUUACAGCCUUUUGUAUUUUGUCUCAAAUGUUUGAAGUAAUUGGAGCUGGAAUGCAACUGGACAAUAUAUCAACUGGAUGGCAGGCAAGAAGAAGAUCUCGUUCUUGUAAAUUGCCUGCUAGUAAUGGAACAAAUAGUUUCCAGGAAAGGCAAAGUCAUUCAUCAUUCUACAAACACAAUAUAGCUGAGAAGUUAAAGUCUGUGAAGAAGUUGUUAGAAAGCUUGCAGCCUUUAUCCUACAGACUUGAGUUGAUGGAAGACAUCUACUCCCUGAUGUUCGUGAGGCACAGUGAUAUGAGUGACGAGGACCACAGCGAGGCCAGUGCUGACGAGGGGGAGAUGGAGCUGUCCUUGCCCUCGCAACACACAGACGCUGACAGCCUCAGGAGCCUCACCGUGUCCAGCAACCUCCCCAACCAACUGGCCAGGGACUCCCCAGACCCUGCCUCUGUAAGUGAACCUAACCACAGUGCUGAAGCUGCCGCUAAGAAAAGAGUGAUUGAUUUUUCAGAAUAUGUAGUCCUGGACGAGAAAGGUGUGGAGAGGCUCAACUUUUCCAGCAAACAGUCGUCGGCAAGCAGUGUGUUGGCAAGCCAUCCCGUCAGCAAGUCCCCGUCACCAGAUGGGAAGGAGGGUGAGGAUUCUGCUUCCAAUGAGCAGGUGCAGUGGGAAGUUGACCAACUGCCCAGCCAGAGUGGAGAAGCUGCACCACAGAGGCAGAGCAGCUAUGUGAAUGGCAAGAGUUGCUCAUCCAGCGCCAGGGAGCUGCCUCGCACCGGCUACCUCAUCAACACCCUGGUGGCCUGGGACGUCAUGCUCAUGCUGAAGGAAGUCCUCUUUCUAUAUACUAAUGAGAAUUUCAAGCAGAUGAGGAAUGAGGAGACAGUUCCCCACAAAGGCAUGGAGAGCCGUGUGUCGUACCUGUCCAUGUGUGUCAAUGAGGGCCUGUGGAGGCUGCAGGUGAUGGUCCCCGGCAGUCACUCCUUCGCCUCACAUGACAUAUUUGAUGAGUACCUGGAUGGCACUCUCUUCUCCCGUGACUCCCACCACCUGGUGUACGACGUGUCUUCCCCGGCGACAAACACCAAGAAGAAGCUUGGCAAGGACGCCGAAGCUCCACAGUUGAGAGGAUGCUCCGCUGAACGCAGCAGCAUCAUAAACUACCUCUUUGCUCCGUCCUCCAGUCUCAUCACCCUCUCCUUGGCCAAUGGUAAUGUGGAAAGGAUAGAAAAAAUAUUCCACACCUUUCAGCUUCCAGACACGACUGACAAGCGGGAAGCACACCUUGCCAUGCGCCUUGGUCAGCUGCGACCCAAACUGUCCAUGUCGGCCCAGAGGUCAGGCCGACCACGGGAGCCCAAGGCAGCACUGGAGCUUGGCACUUCUGAUGACUUGCUUCAGAGCAUCGGGUUAUUGGCUAGGGAGGGGACGGCUCACGUUGGGGCCACGAAUCUCAUUCACGAUUUGAUCACCUCGCUGCCACCGCCAGUCCCCAAGGGCAUCCCUGAGGCAGCUAUGACAACAGAGUGUCCUGUGGUAGCCUCCUUCAUGACACCCAUGGCUCUGGUGCUGACAGACUUGGCACUCACCGUGGAUGUGACAGAGACCACUGCCACCUACAUCAUGGAGCAGGUCUUCCAGCGGCAUAGUGCCACUCAGCCUGACCAUCGGCACAUUGAGACUUGUGGCGGAAUUACAGGCUACUAUCCUCUCCUUCAGCAACUGGGCAAUGCCUGUAGAGCACUCACCAAACUGCAGGAAGAGCUAAAACCAGAAUGUGAAAGUGCCAUGUGUGCCUCAAGAAAGGAUGUACACAAAAAGGCUUCUCUUUGCUUGACAGGACAAAGUGCCACUCCAUUUUCCCUUCUGAUGUCAUCUCUUCCCCUGAAAGAUGUGGAGUUAACAGCUUACCUCAGUGGGUGGGCCAAGGUCUUGAAGAAUGUGAGUGCUGUCCAGGAAGCACUUUUAGACAAGAACAUUAAGUUGGAAGAUGAUACAACAGUAAAGCAUCCUCUGUACUCUCAGAAGAAUCCAGUACAUGUUGCAUACAAAACUUUGCUUCUCACAUUAAGUACAGAAGCAUCUCAUCUUUGGUGCAACUCUGCUAGAGACAAGGCUUGCUUCAAGGUUGGAGCGUAUGUCAGAUCCUUCUACCAGUACUUGCAGCUCCUGUCGGCAAUGGUCACACAGCAUGCAGAAGAACACUUUCUCAGCAGAAUGAGCAGCCACUUUUCACUCCUUGAUGACAGACCUGUUGAAAUUCUUGGAACGCUGAUCUUUGAAGAGGCUGUUGAUCCCGCCAGACUGGAGCCUAUUGCCAACAAGAUGAGGCUGAGUCUGACUGCCAUGAUCCUCCAGUACUGCUUCCCAAAUUUCCCCAUCACUGGUGAGAGUUUCAACAUCGCACCUUUAUCUGCCAAGGCAAAGGGGAAGGUCCAUCCUCUGGGCUUCCUGGUGGAGAAGGAGCGAGUGGUGAUGAAUGCCGGGACCAAAGGAUGCCAGGAGGGUGUACACGGGGAGUUAGUGGUGCAGGGCCUCCUUAUGUCUCUCCUCAGUAGCCUCCAUGAAGCCACACAGCCCAGCUCAGUUAUCUCACAAACUGGCCUCAGAGCAUCGGUGCUGAAUGACACCACAGCCCCGAGAUUCCUUGCCCUAUCGGACGUCCUGAUGGUGCUGAGGGACACGGCAGACCUCACAGCGGUGGACUUCAACAAGAUGCCGCCUGGGAGGGAAGCCGUUGUGUUCUUUGUCAACUUGGCCAACUUGAUGUUCAUUCACGCCGGCUUGCUUAACCACAUUCUGUACCCUGCCAGCAAGGUGAAAGUGAAGCCUGAGGCACGUGGCGUGUUCUCCAACUACCAGCUGGAACGCAUCUGUGCCCUUAAGCGCCUGGGCUACAUGGUGGGGCAGCUGGGCUUUCUCUCCUUAUAUGACAUUCUGUACACUGUCCUGAGACUGCAGAACCCACUUUCCAGUAUACUGGUGCAGAAUGAUCCCAUUAACAGAAUCAGUAUAUGUGAGAGUAACUUGAUAUGCACCAAACUACUUCACAAGAGAGAAGAACUGUCCUCCAUAUCAGAACUGUUGGAGCCGCUUUCUUCUCGGAUCAGUUUCUGUGUCACCCAGGGAACGCCGGUGUCUCCGCGGGUCCAGGUACUGUUUGUGGACAGAAUGGAGGAGCAGCUGGAGGAGGGAGUACAGGAACAUAUGAGGCUGUUCUUUAUUGCUCAGAGCAAAAGAAAGAGGAAGCAGUCUUUAGAAAUGCAGGAUCACAGUAAGAAGGGCCUGGACAAAUGUAAGGUGGUAACAUCAAGAACAGUGUUGGAUUACCUUGCUGCACAUUCUAGUGGCAUUGUGGGAGGCAUGCAGAAGCUGCAGAAAAGCAUGCCACUAGAAAUGGCAGCUAUGGUACAGGAGUUCAUUUCAGAACUGUCCAAAGGAAAACCACUUGAAAUUGAUGUUCUUGAUAGGGAAGAAAAGAGAGGGAUUGUUCUAGAAAUUUUUGAAUCUUUUGAAGAGGAAAAUUACUCAAACUUGAUACAGGAUGAAGCCCAGACUACUUCCUGGACCAAGGAACCAUGCGAAGUCCUGUGGAAGGAACAUGGCAUACCCAAGCGAGUGUCAAAUUACCUGUAUUACCAAUGCCCACUCUUGUCCUUCCUUGUACAAAUAUUUCACAGAACAGCAGACCACACCGAGCAGAAAGGAAGAAUAGAUCCCAGGGAAUACAUGGCAUAUUUACAACCCUGGAUAAUGAUACUCUAUCCUCCGUCAGUUAAGUCAAAGCCAUCCUCUGCUGAAAUUGAAGACUAUUGGCCGGUGGUAAACUUGUUCACUUCACCGCGAAAUCUGGCCUUGGCUAGGGUCCACGGUAGUAACAAGGUUGCCUCUGCCCUGGCGUGUGGCCCAGAGAUCUCUGCCAUCUGGGACCUUGCCGACAGCCUGCUGGGGAGUGGCGCCAUCACCAGAGACCACCAGAAGCAGCUGCAGGAACACGCCACAACACUGGUUAAUGUACUGGAGUCCCUCCCACCCAGCACUCGAGAGAACCACCCUGACCUGACCCUCUUCCUUGACCUGCUGCUGGUCUUCCUGGUGCAGAACACUGCGUCUGAUGGUGAUCCUGGACCCUGGAGCUUUGCCUGCCGCAUUGCAGAUACCGACACAAGAUAUGCAGUUGUCAUGGAGGCCCACAGAAGUUGGCCGGCUGAACCUGCCCAGGAGAUGCUGAGAAUAGUUGGUCACGACCCGCUGCUGUCAUUACACCUCCAGGAGAUGGCUGACGUCCGGGCCAGGAAGUUGAAUCUGUAUGAAAAGAUCCUGAAGCUGGAGGGCUUGUCAUGUGAGUCAUGGCAGGAGGUGGAGCAGAUGUCACUUCAGGAGCCGACUCACCUGAUGCAGCACCUGAUCCAGAAGAAGAAGUUCAGCCUCAGCAUGGAGUGGGCCAAGUACCACAAUGGGAGUGCCGAGUUGCAUCGCCUGGUGGACCAGAGUUACUUGAUGGAGGUGCUGGACAAAACCACGCCUGACUUCAGUGUUGCUUCAGAGGCCAUGGAGGCACUCACACACACAGAUCUGAGUAUUAUAGUGCAAGAGCUGCUUCAUAAACUGUCAAACUUCUCAACACGGCAGUUUCUCAUUGAGUUUUAUCUGAGAAAGCAUUUCCGUGAGUGUGCUGCCAUGAAAUCUGUUCAGACAUUCCCUGGUGAAGGCAGUGAGUCCCCAGAGAGCAGUGAGGAUGCUGGAGCAGCAGCCUGUGAACCAGGUGGUGCUGCUGCUGCUAGUAAUGGUGGUAGUGGUCCUGUGGAUGUUGGGGCCAUGUUGCAAGAGGUGAUGGGACUGCUGCUGAUAGAAGCUGUAGGACCUCCUGGCUUGGACAGGUUUCAGCUGAGCCCUUUGGUGACCUCUCCUCACCUCAUAAUUGAACAGUGGCUCAUGAAUGUGCGUCUGGAAGCUGUGGAGAAGGCUGUGGAGGUGCUGCGCCCAUUCCUGGACAUGGUGGAUACACAUAUCAUGACAGACAAGCUAAGGGAUUUAGAUACCUCAAGAAAUGACAAGAAUGAAGUCCCUCAAGGGCUGAGCUGGACCACACUGAACCAGAUUUUGGAGAUGUACGCUGCCAAGGCUCUGGACACCUCUGGGGUGCAGCUCGCCCUCAAACCUUUGACCACCAUUGAGAAAGCACCCAAGAAGUUUGUGAUGCCGGCCCACCCACCUGAGAUACAGGACUGGGUGCCGGAUGCUGAGGUGCGCAAGUGUCCUGUGUGUGAGGUGACCAUAUUCUCCAUGUUCUCACGGCGCCACCACUGCCGCCGGUGUGGUAGGGUGGUGUGCAGCACGUGCUCCCAGCACCGCAGCCUGGUGCAGGGAUAUGGGGGGCUGUCAGUCAGAGUUUGCCUUGACUGCUACAACCAAACCAAAGAACUCAACCUCAACAACUACAUACAGAUUCGUCCUCUGGGAGACGGGACAUUUGACUCCGUGUCGGUGAGCGUGGACGAGCAGAGUCCUCAUGGGGGCACCUCCCUGGGCAGCGACAUGGAGGGCGGGUGGUACCUGUCCACGGACCAACAACACAAUGACAUCAUCCGCAAUGAGUUCUGUUUUGACUAUGCGCCGUCACUGAGCCUGUGUCUGGCCAUCUUGUCCCAUCACCAGGAUGACAGGAGGGCUGCCCUGUGCGUCAUCAAGCUGUGCCACCGCCUCUUUGCCCUCAUCACGUCAUCCCUGCAGCUGAUGAGCCCGACUGUGGACCACUCCUUUGUGCUGUCCAUGAUCCAGACCCUGCUGGCCUCUGCAAAGGUGCGCUUUGGCAACACUGGAGAGCACCAUGGCAUUGGACUAUGUGAGUAUUACACCCAGUGGGUGGAUUUGCUCUCACUCAUCCUGAAAUCAAACUGUGGCCACAUCAUUCCCCAUGAAGCCCUGGAAAACAUGCAGAUGAUUGGAGAGUUGCACCAAAAGAGCCUGGUGAGGGAGGGAGAUGCACUGGUGGUGCUGGACAGACGCCUCAAGCAAGAAUUCCUGUAUAUGAGGCGCCUCAGGGAUAUGCUGGUCAAGAGGCAGAUGUGGGGACUGGCACUGGAUGUGUCCACCAAGGUGGGCCUGGAGGCUAAUGGGGUAUGGGGGGCAUGGGCCAUGGCUUCCCUCAAAGCUGGGGACUUCUUGGGUGCCAGGGAGCGCUUCUCUCGCGUUCUGGAGAGGCCGUCGGACAAGAACAAGCCGUGCAAACCUUCCCUGCUGUCUGAAGUCAUCAAGUAUCUUGAGAGUAAUCCAUUCCAGGUGAACCAGCAGGUGAUGGAGCAGGCACAGCGCACACGUUCCAGCAUCAUGCUCACCGACCACAACAAGCUCUCCUCCUCACAGGCUCUGGUUGUGCUGCACAGUUUGCAGAGCCUUCAUAAGAUUGCAGAAGGAAGCCUGACAUGUAAAGACUUGUACCAAAGGGCACCUCAGCGUGGCAACAAACAGAGAAAGGGAAACACUCCUAAGAUGGAGUCUAUAUUUCAGGCAGAGUGCAAGUACUAUUUAACUUUGUAUGGCAACCAUGCCAUGACCAUUCAGUACUUCAUGAGACACAGGCAGAUUCAGGAGUGUGUAGAGUACAUCCAGCACACUAACAUUGAUGUGGAGGUCUUCAUUCAGAAUGUCCUCAUAUCCAUCCUGAGGCGCGGGCAGCUGGGCCCCCUCAUGGCCUGCAUCCAUGCUGCCGACCCACACAUGGAGAAGUGGGGCAAGCUGUUGCUGGGCUCCUGCCGCUGGCUGGAACAUAGCGGGUGGUGGAACUGUCUCCUGUCCCUGCAGGAGUCCAUGGGAGACAGGCUGAGAGCAUCAAUGACCCUGCUGAGGAUGUACACAGACGGUGCCACCAGCUACACAACACUGUCCAGCAGAUCAGAGCAUGUGAGUCUGGCACUGAGACACCUGCAGGCUUACCUGGACCAGCAGGCUCUCACUGCAUCCUCAUCCAAGAAAAAGAUCUCCGUCCUCAAUAUGUCACCAUGGCAGAUCAACCAGAACAUCAACAUGCUCAAGCUACAAAUGGACGUCACAAAGUUCCUGGCGGGCUGUGAGGCGAGUGGUGGCAACAUCCCCGCCUGUGUUAAGAUUCUGGUAGACCUGAAGAUAGUGAAGGACAACAGCCUUCCCACUCUGCUGACCAGUGAUGGGGGACGGCUGGGUGUGGCCGUCCUGGUGAUGUGCCUGACGGACAUGGCAGCGGACGGCCUGGCCUUGGCCUACCGCAUCGUGGAACAUACACAGAUGUCGGUGGAGAGGCUUCUGUCAAAGUGCUGCCUGGUGCUGGUGCAGAGGGGACAUCUGAAGCACAUUGGGCGAGUGGUACGCAGCGUAAAGGAGUGGGAGAUACUGACUCCAGCUACUAUGGAUGCUGCCCUGCGCCCUGCCUUGCUGUCCCUUGCCUCCACCAGCAGUGCCGCCCACCUAGACACUCUGGUCAAACUUCUCUCUAGUGAUGCAGCGAGGAUGGACAUGUUCCUGGAGUGCCGGCGCCUGAGGUCAGCUUACCUAGUGGCAGUGCACAUUGGGGAGCGGCCAUGGGUGGAGCGGGUGAAGGCUGCGGCGCUCAGUGUGGGCCAGAACCAUGUGGCAUCCAUGUGUGACAAGUGGCUCAGUUGCAAGGACAGCGGGCCCUGACUCACUCUCUCACUCUUCAACAAAUCUUACCUUCAACCUAACCUAACCUAACCUACACAAAUCUUAUCUUGGAUACUUAUAGCUUUUUGAACUAGUCCAAUGUAAUCCUUCACUGCUAUAGAAAUAUUCACUCUGAUAUAUAACCUUUUACAUCCAUCCAUGCUAAACUUUUAAAUAAUUAUAUAUAAUGUAAGGAACUAAAUUAACCUCAUUGUCUCUCUCUCUGUAAAACAAAUAGUGAUUUCUGGAGCUGUGAAGAUCUUUAAGAUGCAACUUCUUUGUAUCCAGAGAGAUUCACACACUUUGUAAACUGAAGAAGUACAUCAUAAUCAUCAUCAUCACCAUCAUUGUCAUUGUCAUCAUUAUUGUCAUUAUCAUCAUUACUAUCAUUUAAAAAGGAAGUUUCUGUUUUUACAUUGGUUUGCUUUGACAUUGGAGGGAGUUCUUUGCAAUCUGUCCUUGAGUCUUUUCUUGAUAUUUUCUUUCAAUUCUAUUUUCUGUAAUCUGCUGCUGCCUUUUUUUCUAUUUCAGUAGCCGUGAAGCAUUCUUUUCUGUCGUCUCUCUCUCCUCAUGGCUGAUUGGAGGCAUGAUAUAUAUUAGCCAUGUGGUCAUAAUCCUAUGUUGUUUUUAAGUGACUGGAAAGACUUGAGGAAACGAAUUAUGUGUGUCCUUGCUCUCUCAAGGCUGAUACAUACACUGGCUAUGUGGUUGUACUCUGUGUUGCUUGAUGACAGCUGAAGCAAUCAUUGUUAAUAGUGAUGGAUCAUUGAAGGACAGGAAAGCUACCACUGUUCCAUUCCUUGCUCCAAAACUAUGGAAGAUGCAAUGACAGAAGCAGGAGUAAUGUCAUCAGUCACAGCAGCAGAAAGAGUAACAAUAACAAUGCAUAAUAGUUCAGAGGUGCUAUGUCUCAGCCCUGGAGUGUAGUAGGGUGCUCUACCAGACUGUCCCUCUCCACCAGCAGGUUCUGAGAGGGCUAAGAGUGUGAUGAAUAAGGUGUGUGUGUGUGUGUGUGUGUGUGUGUGUGUGUGUGUGUGUGUGGUGCCUUGUUUAAGUCAUCCCAUUUGGGAUUGCCAGCCUGGUAUAUAGGUAAAUAUAUAAUAUAAUUAGUAUGAUAGUAGAGGGCAUAGGCUUGCUUCACUCAAACAUUUCAUCUCAUACAGAAAAAAAUAGUAGUACGGUUUAGAAAUCAGUUAGUGAGGUUGUUCCAGUGAUGAGUGAUGGCAGAUUCCUUUGUGGCAAAGGUUUAUCUGCUACACGUGUCACUAAAGAGUCUGGUGCAGUUCUUCUUUCUGCACCUUCUCUGUAUUGAUGAUCAAAUGUUUGUGUGAGGACAUGCCCUAUUGACUCUGCCACACUGCCGUCCUGUCAUGUGGGGAACAAACCAAUUAUGUGAAAUUACUUUUAGUGUACUCUACAUAGAAUUUAGGGACUUGGAUUCAAAUCUCUUAGGUUGUCUCUCUUCCUACUGUAGCUCCUGUUCUUUUGGAGGAUAGGCACAGGAGCACAAGAUUAACAAUCCUGCCUUUCAUGUGUGUGUGUGUGCCUGCGUGUGUGUGUGCGUGCGUGCACUUGCUACAAGAGACCAGAAGUAAUGUAUGCUGUAUACUGAGGAAUAAGAAGGCAAAGGUAUAAAGGAAACAAGUGUGUGCAAAGUUCCAUAUUGAGUUCAGUUCCUGUUCUUCAGUGAAGUGUUUGAUUGAUGAAAUGUCGGGUGAUUCUUGUGUAGAUUUCUGUAUUGGUGGGAGGAUUGAUUGUGCUCAUCUAAGACUAUUUUCUGUAAGGCAGAAGUUGUUCUAAAAGAAAAAGAAGAAUUCCUUAUAUGUAACUGAACUUGCAUUCCUGAAGGGAGGUGAUCUGAAAUCUUUGCAUUGAUGUGCCUUAGGAAAGGUACCAGGUCUCAUGGAUCCAGGCAAAGACUGUGUGUAUGUGGGUCAAUACACUUCACUUUUGUAUUGGAAAAGCAUUCCUGUGGUGGGAUGGGUGACUUGUGAGUGCUGUGUUGAGAGGUUACCCAGAAGCCUUUGUCAUGUCAGAUACAUGCUGUAAAUCUGACAGUUUACCUCUCACCUGGUUGGAAUUAGACUAAUCUGAGUAAAGGACAACAGUAUGUACCUAGCUUGUAGUUUUAAAGUUUUUACAGGGAAAAUAGAUCAUGUAUUUGCAAAGAAUCAUUAGGUUGGUAACUAUUAGAGGUACUUAUCCCAAGCAGUGGUAGAUGUAGAUGACUGACCCCGUGACAAUGCUGCACUGAUUAGAAAUGUGUGUGUGCUGCCACCAGCUUGCAUUGAGAGCAGUAAUGUGGGUGACAGGUGCUGUGACAGUUUUGUAUUGAUAGGAAAUGUGUGUAUUCAUUGCAGUAGUAGGUGUAAUGUGGAUGACAGAUGCUGUGACAAUGCUACUCUGAAUAGAAGUUGUAUACACAUUGGCAUCAGUUCCACAUGAGGUGCUCCACAAGUUGGUGGGGUUGUCCUUUCCUGGUACAUUGUUCAUAGAGAAGACAGCAAGUGAAAGUCAUUUGUGAUUAUUGAUUGGCACAAUGUGUUGUGGGACCAGAUGGUGAGUUAGUGGUCUGUCAAGUAUUAGUUGUAGCAAACAAUACAAUUGCCUGUGUUAUAGGAGGUUAUUUACAGGCUGUGAUUACAUAUGAAGCUUACUAUCUAUCCAUAAAUUUAAGAUGCAUCUGAAGAUAAAAAUGAAAUUGUAUCCUUAGAUUAUUAUUGUCUGCUAUAGACUUACUUAUGUGAGUGUGUGUGUGUGUUUAGGACAGGAUGCGUACAGACACCUGCCCAGUGUGGAGGCUGGGGUGUAUCUGAAUCAGGUGAGCCAGCAUUGGUAUCAGCCUCCUUCAUGGUCAUACUGAGGACAGAUCUUAUGCAGCUCUUGGUAUUUAAGUUUUAUAGUAUUCUACAUCCUACAUUAAGGCAACAUGUACUCCAUACUCUUUAGAUUUAAUUGAUUAGGGAACUUUAAUGUAAGUACUACUCUGAAACUGCUCAUUAGAGAUGUGCCAAAAACUACACUAAGAUCUUGAAUUAAUCUUUUAUAUAGUGUUGGUAAUGUUUUAUAAGUUUUAUUAAUAAUUCAUUUAACAAAUAUGUAUUUUAAUUUUUCACAUUUUAGGAAACUUUUAAAUACUAUUGUAAAAUGGAAUAUGAAAGAUAAUAAGUGAGCAUUUCUAUAUUUAUAUUUAGAUGCAUCUUUUAUAGUUCCAUGGAAAAAUGUAGCAAUGAUAAGUACAGUAUACAUUAAAGCUAUCACAAAAUAAACAUAAUUACAAUAUA